Non-coding RNA from Misgurnus anguillicaudatus (oriental weatherfish), 366 nucleotides. The record is from RefSeq and is a predicted model, not a curated record. NCBI's taxonomy places the organism in Eukaryota, Metazoa, Chordata, Actinopteri, Cypriniformes, Cobitidae.
UGCGUCGUCAUUCGUACCGCCCCUUUACGGAAGUUGCAAUUUAUGAAUGGGAGAGUUUCUGAAGUGCCGUCUCGCUGUUCUGCUGCUGUGUGUAGGCUGCCCCUGGCUUUGAGUUUGUCAACAAACAAUCCACUGCAUGUAAUGGUCCGGAGAUUGGGCAUAGUAUUAGAUUACUACAGAAGUUGCCAUUUAUGAACGGGAGCGUUUUGGAAGUGCCGUCUUUCUGUUCUGCUGCUGUGCGGAGGCUGCCCUUGGCUUUGAGCUCGUCAACAAACAAUCCACUGCAUGUUAUGGUCCGAGACCGUGCAUAGCACCACAUUAUGAACAUCAUCUGAUGGAGUGAAAGGCACAAGGGUUUCAUCUUUA